ACGCAGCGCGGUUGCUGGGCACCUCGACUAUCACCUGACCGUAGUAAUAUCUCCCGCUACGCGCGUUGUGACCAAUGCUGCAUACAGGAGAUGAGGGAGGACGGCCAGACACCUGGAAGCCGGAAAAUGAGUGAAGCUGUGCCUGAUGCUGGGUUGGCCCGGUGUGCAGGGUGCCAGGGUGCAGCGGGAGGGUGGACUAUAUACACCCUGUACAAGAGGUGCUCCUGAAACAGUAGUCAUUUAAAGAGGAGAGAGAAAGGGAGGAAAGGCAGCCAUCAGGUGGCGCACUGAGUCCACACCCCAAAAGGCAAAGGGCUCACCAGGACCUUAAGGACCUCUGCUGCUGCUGCUGCUGCUUCAGGACUCAGUGGCCUUUGAGGAUGUGGCAGUGAACUUCACCCAGGAGGAGUGGGCUUUGCUGGAUCCUUGGCAGAAAAAACUCUACAGAGAUGUGAUGCUGGAAACCUAUAGGAACCUGGCUUCA
This 484-nucleotide long non-coding RNA is filed under the name Homo sapiens (human). RNAcentral describes it as "non-protein coding lnc-ZNF136-1:15". Lineage: Eukaryota; Metazoa; Chordata; Mammalia; Primates; Hominidae. The record is from RNAcentral.